AACGUAGGAGACAAACGUUAUCCGGAGUUACUGGGCGUAAAGGGCGUGUAGGCGGUGUGUUAAGUUUGGCGUGAAAGCUCUCGGCUAAACCGGGAGAGGUCGUUGGAUACUGGCAAACUAGAGGACGGUAGAGGCGUGUGGAAUUCCGGGUGUAGUGGUGAAAUGCGUAGAGAUCCGGAAGAACACCGGUGGCGAAGGCGGUCUGCUGGGCAGUUGCUGACACUGAGGCGCGACAGCGUGGGGAGCAAACAGG
This 253-nucleotide ribosomal RNA is filed under the name uncultured bacterium. RNAcentral's name for it is "partial 16S ribosomal RNA". It matches the Rfam family "Bacterial small subunit ribosomal RNA", at positions 524 to 776 of the family's 1533-position model. The record is from RNAcentral.